UGCCAGCCGCCGCGGUAAUACGGAGGGUGCAAGCGUUAAUCGGAAUUACUGGGCGUAAAGCGCGCGUAGGUGGUCUGUUAAGUCGGAUGUGAAAGCCCCGGGCUCAACCUGGGAACUGCAUUCGAUACUGGCAGACUAGAGUGCGGGAGAGGGAGGUAGAAUUCCAUGUGUAGCGGUGAAAUGCGUAGAUAUGUGGAGGAAUACCAGUGGCGAGGGCAAUUUACUGGACAUUUACUGACGCUGAGGCUCGAAGGCUAGGGGAGCGAAAGGGAUUAGAUA
Molecule: ribosomal RNA, 279 nt
Filed under: uncultured bacterium
Lineage: Bacteria
Description: partial 16S ribosomal RNA
Rfam family: Bacterial small subunit ribosomal RNA
Source: RNAcentral